GGCAAAGAAGAAACUGGUUUGAUUACCAGAAAUUAUGGCAACUUCAACAGGAGGUCUUCAGUACAACACGGCUCACUACGAGAUUCCAAUAUUAAAGGGGUUGAUGACCCGAAAUUAUGGCAACUUCAACAGAGGGUCUUCAGUACAUGGGCUCACAACGAGAUUCCAAUAUUAAAAGGGAGUCUGUCUAGGUAGACAUCAUGACGCUGUCAAUAGUCUGAAGAGCUUGGUUGGCAAAAAAACGGACAUCAACAUCUGGAUCCUCACUUAGCUCAACC
RNAcentral lists this long non-coding RNA (278 nucleotides) under Populus tremula. RNAcentral describes it as "long non-coding RNA (PTRE_LNC002779)". The record is from RNAcentral. Lineage: Eukaryota; Viridiplantae; Streptophyta; Magnoliopsida; Malpighiales; Salicaceae.